Molecule: ribosomal RNA, 431 nt
Filed under: uncultured Paracoccaceae bacterium
Lineage: Bacteria; Pseudomonadati; Pseudomonadota; Alphaproteobacteria; Rhodobacterales; Paracoccaceae
Description: bacterial SSU rRNA
Rfam family: Bacterial small subunit ribosomal RNA
Source: RNAcentral
AACGAACGCUGGCGGCAGGCCUAACACAUGCAAGUCGAGCGAACUCUUCGGAGUUAGCGGCGGACGGGUGAGUAACGCGUGGGAACGUGCCCUUUGCUACGGAACAACAGCUGGAAACGGCUGCUAAUACCGUAUGAUGUCUUCGGACCAAAGAUUUAUCGGCAAGGGAUCGGCCCGCGUUGGAUUAGGUAGUUGGUGGGGUAAUGGCCUACCAAGCCGACGAUCCAUACCUGGUUUGAGAGGAUGAUCAGGCACACUGGGACUGAGACACGGCCCAGACUCCUACGGGAGGCAGCAGUGGGGAAUUAUAGACAAUGGGGGCAACCCUGAUCUUGCCAUGCCGCGUGGACGAUGAAGGCCUUAGGGUUGUAAAGUCCUUUCACCGGUGACGAUAAUGACGGUAGCCGGAGAAGAAGCCCCGGCUAACUCCG